Molecule: long non-coding RNA, 699 nt
Filed under: Trifolium pratense (red clover)
Lineage: Eukaryota; Viridiplantae; Streptophyta; Magnoliopsida; Fabales; Fabaceae
Description: long non-coding RNA (TPRA_LNC009559)
Source: RNAcentral
UUAUUUGUCUCAUGACAAAGAGAUUGCUCUCUUGCUUUUCAAUUUGUAAGCCUAUUUAAAGGCGACAUAUUUGAAAGAAAUCAAGUUAUCCUUUAUUAUAAAAUUUUGAGAGUUAUUUUCUCUUUCCGGUGGAUUCUAUAAGCUUUUAUGUGACAUAUUUGUUGUUUGUCACUUGUAAACCUGUGUUUUCGUUUCUAGAAUUAGUGGUUCCUUGUACUUCCGACCGCGUCACAAACUCGGGUUCUUCGAACAAUUUGAUCCAAUGCGUGCAAACAAUGGGAGCUCAUUAAUCACUUAAAUCUAAUGUUUAAAUUAUUUGUUUUUUUUUUAUUUUCAUAAUUUUCAUAAUAAAGGAUAACUACGAUCUCCACAACUACGAUCAGAAGGGGUUGGAACCACGGUUCGAUCUCCACAACUACGAUCGGAAGGGGUUGGAACCACUCUGUGUCAUAACUGACCCCCCGAACCAGAUUAGACGGUCUAAUAGGCCGGAUACUUGAGUGAAAAAAAAUAAAAAUUAUUAUUGUUGUGUCCGAUACUCCCUGCGUCCUAAAAUGCUCCCUCCAUCUCAAAAUGAGUGGCCCAUUUUGACUAUAUGCACUAUUCAUACAACUUGUUUUGACCAUAUUUUUUUACUAAUAAAUAAAAAUAAGGGUCAUGCUAAACAGAUGUUGGAUUCGUCGUAUUUUUAAAAUAUCA